This 75-nucleotide transfer RNA is filed under the name Patescibacteria group bacterium. Its description in RNAcentral is "tRNA-Thr". It matches the Rfam family "tRNA". From Rfam's summary of the family: Transfer RNA (tRNA) molecules are approximately 80 nucleotides in length. Their secondary structure includes four short double-helical elements and three loops (D, anti-codon, and T loops). The record is from RNAcentral.
GCCUGGGUAGUUCAGUGGUAGAACGCCUCCAUGGUAAGGAGGAGGUCGAGGGUCCAAUUCCCUCCCCAGGCUCCA